AGCGCGCAGGCCCCGGCGGGCGUUUUGUGCCCGCGGGCCGGACUCUGGCUCUGGUCCCUCGGCGUUUGUCGGAGGCUGGUGACCUGGUCUUUCAGCAGCUCAGGUGACGAUUUGCACCAGCCUGAGCUGCGGGGGAGUUGCCACCCGUCUGCGGAAUCCUGAGGAUGAUGAAAGGCGGCACAUGUCUGCAUCCCCCCUGACUCGGACCUGGAGCGGAGGUCCCGGGUUGGAAUCGGAAGUCGCCCACCCCGAGUGUGGUGGGAAGUCCCUCAGCCAGGACGACCUACGAUGAGGUCGGCUCUGGCGAUUUGAUCUAAAACAUCAGCCCUUCUGGUUCUUGAGGCUGCUGGUCUUCAGACUGGAACUACACCGUUGGCUCUCCUGGGUCUCCAGCUUGCCAGCUCAUCCUGCACAUCUUGGGACUUGUCAGCCUCCAUAGUAGUGUGAGCCAAUUCCACAUAAUAAAUCUCUUUAUAAAUAUACACACACACAUCCUAUUGGCUCUAUUUCUUUUGGAGACCCCGAUGAAGACACAGCUCAUCUGUAGGGAAUGUGGUUAUCAAACAGCCUCUAGCAGUUGGCUCCUUCAGGCUGCACAGAGCCACUUUUCUUGAGGUCAAAUCUAUCCCAGAGUAGCUUCUAUCAGGUGACUGAGAGAGUGGGACUAGAAAAGCCCAGCCAUUUUGGCCCAACAGGGUCCCCUCUGACAGGCAAUAAGAGAUCCAGAGCUCCCCACUGGGUUGGCUAAGACGUCACAGUUUGACUUCUUCCUCUGCCCAGUCCUGCUUCUGCACCCUUCUUCUUACAGGUGUUGAUCACUAAUAAAUACCUUGCACCCCAGAUUCCAUCUCAGCUUCUGACUUCAGAGAAUCCAACCUGGAAAACCCACAUCACAUUCCCUCAGUCACAUAGAACUGCAAGAGAAGCUGUGGAACAGACUUAUUCCAGAGGGCCAUGUGCCCACUGUAAAAUAGGGAGUUCCACUACUAAUGAAAAAGGGGAUGCCAUAGAAGCUCAGGGGGCCCAGGGGGUCGCAGUGAGGGGUCAAAGGUUCAGAAAGGGGCAGAGGCAGGUAAAAGAUGUUUCAGGCACUUGGAAAAUGUGGGUUUUGUUUUACCACAUCAAAAUUAAGUAUUUGUGGUUCUGGUUUCCAGUGACAGCAGAUAAGUUCAGUCAGACUAACCCUCUCAUGAAUAACAAUUACACUAUCUGGAAAAAAGUAUUCUAAAAAGACAAUUCUUUGAAAGCACUGGCAAGUGACCAAACGUCGGCAGAAACUGGAGGUAAGCACCCUUGAAAAACAACUGUAACUGGUGAGGUUGGUGUAUCUGCGGCCUUUUGCUGAGAGCACUCCCCAACCUGCAAGCAGCUCUGGUGGAGAAAAGAAACAGCUGCACUAUUCUGAGGUGUCAGAAAACUGAAUUUGGGGCUGGCUGAGCAACCAAAGAGAGGAGAAAUCCUGGAAAGAAGAGAAUCACAAAGAGGGUGAUCCCCAAAAUUUGUAGAAAAGAAAUCCCCCCAAACGCUUGUUUGACUGCUAACCUACACACGCACAGGGUCAACACCGGCAACCCAGAAAAAAAAAGCAGCAGCUAGAACGUGAAAGAACUGGGUGAGGAUGUCAGCUUUGGCCCACUGCUGAAGAGAGAAUUUGGAGUUGAAGUCUAGCCAAGUUAGCUUCCUGUUAGAAAAAAACGUUCUUCAAAGGGACAUAACAGAAUCUAGAAUCCUGAAAUAUGUCAUUUAUAAUGUCCAGUAUCCAACAAAAAAUAGCAGACAAGUGAAGAAAUGGGAAAUGUGACUCAUAAGUCAGUCAAUAAAAACCUCCCCAAGGUGACACACAUGUUAAAAUUAGCAGACGAGAAUUUUAACGCAGCUGUUAUUACAGUUUCAAAGACAUAAAGAAAAAUGUAUACAAAUGAGAUACCACUACAUACGUACUAAAAUAGCUAAAAUUAAACAGACUGACAAUACUAAGUGGUGUUGAGGACGCAGGGCAACUGGAACUUAGAUACACUGCAGGUUAGAGUGUAAAAUGGGACAAGCACUUUGAGAAAAGGGUUGACAGUUUCUUAUCAAAUUAUACUUGCCGUAUGACCCAUCCAUUCCACUCCUAGGUAUUUAUCCAAGAGUGGUAUUUAUUUAAGAAACAAAUGUUCACAAAAAGUCUUGUAGAUGAAUGUUCACAGACUCCUAAUUUAUAAGAGCCAAAAGCUGGAAACAACUCAAAUGUCCAUCAAUAGGUGAGUGGAUUAAUAAAUUGUGGUAUAUUCAUGGAAUAUUCAAUGGAAUAUUACUUAGCAAUCACAAAUAACAAACUCCUGAUACAUACAACAUGUACGAAUCUCAAAAACAUGAUGCUGAACAAAAAAAGCCCGGCAUAAAAAAGUAUAUAUUGUAUUAUUCUACUUAUAGGAAAGUCUAAAAUAAGGAAAAACUAAUUUUUAUUGAUACAAAGCAGAUCUGUGGUUGCCUGGGGCCAGAGCAAUAGAGAGAGUCAAUGCAAAGGGGCACGCAAUAAAUUUUUGAGGUGAUGAAAAUGUUCUGUGUGUUAAUUAUGAUGAUGAUUACAUGAGCGCAUACAUUUUCAAACUCAUCAAACUGUAUACUUAAAGUGGGUUCAUUUUAUUAUAUGUGAAUUAUACCUCAAUAAAAAUUAUUUUAAUUUUUUUAAAGUAAAAUGAAAGCAAAAUAAAGACUAUCUCAGAUCAACAAAAACAGAGAAUCAUCACCACCAGACCUGUACUACAAGAAAUACUAAGGAAAGUUCUUCAGACUAAAGGAAAAUGACACCAAGUAAUCUACAGGAAGGAAAGAAGAGCACCAGAAAUGGCUUCUUGGUAUGGAAGAAAGGUGCUAGAGAAGAGAUUAAACAAAAGCUCUUUAAUCUUGAAUUUGAAUUGUAAGUAUCAAUACGUACUCGAAGUAUUUUAUCCCAUGUGUGUAUAUAUGUGUGCAUAAGUAUGUAUGUAGGUGUGUGUGUAUAUACACUAUAUAUACAUAUAGUCUCCUAGCUCUGUCCACUGAAAAGGCUUAGCUGCCGUCUUGAAAUAUAAGUUCUCAUUUAAAAAGCCCAAGGAUUCUUUGAGAAAUGGCUGACUCCAGUCUGAGGCAACAAGUGUACAAGAUGACCCAGGAAUAUUUUGUUAUAUCAAAUAGCAAGGAAAACUAUCAAAGAUUACUAGGGUCAUCUCAAAAGGACUCAGGAGCCAAUCUGGUGAGACUCCACUAGCCAAAGUGGGGGCAGUUGGCACUUCAAUAAUGACAACAAUUCCAACUGAUUGAAACCCAUCAAAAAUAUAUAAAUCCAUAAGAUCAUAAUGAUAUUUUUUUAAAUGGCCACCUUUUGAGGAUGAUAGGAAUCCAAUCCAUUAUCUUGAAAACUGGUGGAAAAGGAAAGAAUCAAGCACUUAUUCUGCCUUUCCUAUGUGAACUAUGCACUCAGAAACCAAGUAGAUAAGGUUUCUCCUUACAAAAAUAUUUCAACUAAUAAAUAAAAUGAAAUUAUAGAAUUAAUGGCACCACUUUGCAAUCCUCAAUGAAUUAAGGGAUACAAGUAAUAAGCAUCGACACCUGAAAAAAAUCAUGAGCAUAGAGACAAUUAGAUUUAUAUGCCUUUUAUAGUCUUGCCAAAGUGAUCAAAU
Non-coding RNA from Equus caballus (horse), 3644 nucleotides. The record is from RefSeq and is a predicted model, not a curated record. NCBI's taxonomy places the organism in Eukaryota, Metazoa, Chordata, Mammalia, Perissodactyla, Equidae.